UACGAAGGCUGCGAGCGUUAUCCUGAUUUAUUGGGUUUAAAGGGAGCGUAGGCGGUCUUUUUAGUCAGUGGUGAAAUCUCGUUGCUUAACAACGAACGUGCCAUUGAUACUGUAGGACUUGAGUACAGUUGCCGUUGGCGGAAUGUGUCAUGUAGCGGUGAAAUGCAUAGAUAUGACACAGAACACCGAUUGCGAAGGCAGCUGACGAAACUGUAACUGACGCUGAGGCUCGAAAGCGUGGGGAUCAAACAGG
RNAcentral lists this ribosomal RNA (253 nucleotides) under uncultured bacterium. RNAcentral describes it as "partial 16S ribosomal RNA". It matches the Rfam family "Bacterial small subunit ribosomal RNA", at positions 524 to 776 of the family's 1533-position model. The record is from RNAcentral.